This 460-nucleotide ribosomal RNA is filed under the name uncultured bacterium. Its description in RNAcentral is "partial 16S ribosomal RNA". It matches the Rfam family "Bacterial small subunit ribosomal RNA", at positions 338 to 795 of the family's 1533-position model. The record is from RNAcentral.
CCUACGGGUGGCAGCAGUGAGGAAUAUUGGUCAAUGGACGAGAGUCUGAACCAGCCAAGUAGCGUGAAGGAUGACUGCCCUAUGGGUUGUAAACUUCUUUUAUAUGGGAAUAAAAUGUUCCACGUGUGGGAUUUUGUAUGUACCAUAUGAAUAAGGAUCGGCUAACUCCGUGCCAGCAGCCGCGGUAAUACGGAGGAUCCGAGCGUUAUCCGGAUUUAUUGGGUUUAAAGGGAGCGUAGGUGGAUUGUUAAGUCAGUUGUGAAAGUUUGCGGCUCAACCGUAAAAUUGCAGUUGAAACUGGCAGUCUUGAGUACAGGAGAGGUGGGCGGAAUUCGUGGUGUAGCGGUGAAAUGCGUAGAUAUCACGAAGAACUCCGAUUGCGAAGGCAGUUCACUGGACUGCAACUGACACUGAGGCUCGAAAGUGUGGGUAUCAAACAGGAUUAGAUACCCCAGUAGUC